Molecule: long non-coding RNA, 1368 nt
Filed under: Salmo salar (Atlantic salmon)
Lineage: Eukaryota; Metazoa; Chordata; Actinopteri; Salmoniformes; Salmonidae
Description: lncRNA (ENSSSAG00000105835.1)
Source: RNAcentral
CACAACUCUGUUUCCGAUGCAAGGAUAGCCAGCCUUUGUGUACAUCCCUUAAAGGGAAACUUCACCACUAGAGACUUUUUGGGGUGUUUUUCCAGAGUGAUGAGAGGGUGAUUCAGACAAUUAUGUCAUUGGUUGAUUGAGCCUGCUGUCUGAUCAAAAAAUUUAUGGAGUUACGUUUCUAAGCAAUUAUUGUGGCCUUUGUGUUUCGCCGACUGCACGAUCACGCGAGUAGAUAUGGUUGUCCUUGUUCAAUAGAGCCAUUGGACUUUUCUCAACGAUGUUCCUAUCUGCCAGGACAUUGCAGGAUAUCAAGAUUGACUCAUUUUACCUGGUUUUGUAUAGACUAUAGCCUGACGGGAGCCAUACUUCCUUGUUCCCACCCUCGAAGACAAGAAAUAUAAUUGAUGACUCAAGACAAGAUGUGAAAGGUCCCAUAACAGCAAACUCCCAUUGUAUCAAAGUGACUCCGAACACCUCACUGCACCACCCAAACACACCAUAUGCAAGUAUUCCCUUUGUAGAACUGUAGUAUUUAUUAAAAGCGUUAGUAUUAGUAUUUCUUCUACUGUAUAUACUGUAUUCCUGCAUACUGCUGUGUAAAAUUACCACGGUCCCCAGAACAAAUAAACUUUGUCCUGAAUACAAGACAUGUCUACUUAUUUGCUACAUUAACAGACUAAUCUCAUCUGAGAUUUCCACCUUCGCCGUCCAGACCGGCCCGCUCUUCGCCCUCGGGGCCGGUGUCGUCCUGCGGCUGGGGCCGCACGUCGGAGGGGGGAGGUCAUCACUUCCCUGAUUACUCCCCGUUCAUCUAGCACUCCGAGGAGGAGCUCCCUGCGUCUCCGUUACAAUUCUAUAUUAUACUACAACAUCAGUCUAACAGAAUAUGGAUGUUGUGUUGGUUGAAUGUUCCAGGCAAGUUCCAGAAUGUUCUUCAGCUGGUGAACCUCUCCUUGUUUUGGGUAAUGGCAGCUGGUUUAGCAAGCUUUGGUGCUGUGGCGAUGUUGGCAGUGAUGUUAGGUUUGGGGGGGAUGUGACUCUGGCUCCUUGUAGACAACAGUCUGGUCCUUUCUGCACUCCACAGCCAAGUAGAAAAGCCUCUCUUUCUUCACCACCCGCUGCUUCAACCUCAUGCAGAAGAUUUGUUUGUUCUAUAAUUCUCCUGGAAAGACAUGAAGACUGACCAUGAGGAUGUGUAAAACAUGAAGACCGAUCAUGAGGAUGUGUAACCAUACAAUAAAACAUGUUAAUCAUUAAACAAAAAAGGCUACAGUAGACUGGUAUGUGUUUAAUUACACUCAAUAGUCAAUAAUGGGGCAUUGAGAUGGACUGUUAACAAAGGUGUGAAAAGUUUGAGUGGGGCUUGAC